AUGCGCCCAGUUUGGACAACGUUUUGACAAAAUUUGGUAUAAAUGAUAUAAAGAAGGAGCAAAAGGAAAUUUUAGAGUGUUUAGUUAACAAGAAGAAGUGCGUGGCUGUACUCCCGACUGGUUUUGGCAAGUCACUGCCGUUUCAACUGUACCUUCCAGUUGUCCGGGAGGUUAUUGAAAACAGUUCUGACUGAAAAGUUUUAGUCUGUUUUCCCUUAGUAGCUCUGAUGCUGGACCAGGUGGAAAAACUCUCGCACAUUGGAAAUAUUACUGCUGCAUACAAAGGAUCAUCUUCCCCAGAGUGACGAUCAAAUCAAAGAGGGGUUGAUAGAUGUCAUUCUUGCAUCUCCAGAAACAUUGGUUGGUGAUCCCUAUUGUUUAAAGAAGUUGAACAUUAAGUUGUUUGUAAUUGAUGAGUUUCACACAAUAGCAAUUUGGGGCCAAGAUGAAGGAGACAGAAAAAAAGGCUUUUCGAAAAUGGUUUUCAAAUGUAGGUGAACUAAGAUCCCUCUUUUCCGAUGCUACAGUAUUGGCUUUAAGUGCAACUU
Long non-coding RNA from Mytilus californianus (California mussel), 548 nucleotides. RefSeq lists it as uncharacterized. NCBI's taxonomy places the organism in Eukaryota, Metazoa, Mollusca, Bivalvia, Mytilida, Mytilidae. The record is from RefSeq and is a predicted model, not a curated record. The transcript has 3 exons.